UUCGAACCGGGGUCCAGGAUACCGGUCUCGGUGGCGGUGUCCUGGCGCCAGGCAGCCUAGGGAACGCUGUCGCCCUGGGCGCUGUCUGGAGGUGUCAACUUGUGUGACAUCUCGACCAUUAUAUGGACCCGGACCCUGGGCCCCGAGAACCAGGCGAGAGAAAUUGUGCUGGAGGUUCGCACGGACACGGCGCCGGAACCUACUGGCUUCCCAGGGUCCUAGCAUGGGCUCUUCCCGCACCCCGGUAGCGGGUCAUGGGCUUUGCUUAAGACCACGUCUCCCCAGAUUCGGUCCCUCGCGCUACACCUUUACAGUCCGCCUACAUCUGUACUAGAUACCAAAUGUUAAAUGUUUUUCUUUAAACUGACUCUGACCCCCCUCUCCCCCUUAAAUGCAUUUGUUUAAGGCGGAAAUUUGAACCCCAAACGAUAUAAUGGAAAGCCAGUUAUUUCUCUAACGCUCAUAAAAAAAAGAAUAAAUAC
Molecule: long non-coding RNA, 482 nt
Filed under: Rattus norvegicus (Norway rat)
Lineage: Eukaryota; Metazoa; Chordata; Mammalia; Rodentia; Muridae
Description: long non-coding RNA NONRATT019956
Source: RNAcentral